GAGACUGGAUGUCUGGCCCAGCCCCCUCAGGAGGGCACAGCCUCAAGGAGGAGGGUGGCCCUGGGGGCCCAGAGCAGAGCUGCAGAAUCUGUGUGCAAGUGUGUGGCUGGUGGACGGCCACCCUUGGUGUCCCGUCGGUGAUAUCCGGACAGCAAACCAAGAUGUCAGAGAAUGAUGUGAUGUCAUAUGAUCUAUAACACAGAAUCCAAAAGAAGUUCAAGCUCUUAGAAAAAGAGGAAGCACCUGGAAGCCUGGGUGUUCCCAGCCCACUUCAUCAUUACACCCGGACAGAGGGAGCCCGGGGGUUCUCUCAGGGAAAAUCCUCCUCAGUCCAUGCCUGGCCAACACUGCAGCUUCCCGGGCUGAUUCUGGUGUUUAAGUUGAAAGAUUCCUUCUUCCCUCAUAGCCACUGCAAUGGUCUGGAGCCAGCUCAGGCCCUGGGGCGGCCAGCUGCAGCCUGGGGAGUGGAGGGACAGUGGGCUUUAGACUCACAGCCCAGCUUGGCUGUCCCUGCUGGCCACCGCUGGGCGGUCACAUCACCAACCUGGUCUCUGUUUCUUUAGCGACAGCCCAGCACCAGCACCCUCCAGUUGGUGCGAGGUGCACAUGAGGUGGCUUCCAAGAAGGCCCCAGUGCAGGAAGGCCCGUGACCCAUGCUGGCCUCCAUCUACUCCCCAUGUCCUGUGCAGACGGAAUGCUCAUUGGCCUGUGGGGGAGGGGGUGUUGAGUUUUUUUUUUUUUAAACAAAGCUUGAUUGGUUUAGGGAGAAAUAGGAGAAACCACCUGCUAUGCAGUUAAAAACAAAACAAAACUCAGAUUAAAUCAAUAUUUGAUUCA
Molecule: long non-coding RNA, 837 nt
Organism: Galeopterus variegatus (Sunda flying lemur)
Lineage: Eukaryota; Metazoa; Chordata; Mammalia; Dermoptera; Cynocephalidae
Exons: 2
Source: RefSeq, a predicted model, not a curated record